GGAAGGUAGCCCCGAUUGGUCGGGAACUGGUCUUGAAAACCAGGCGGCGGUAAAACGUCAGAGUUCGAUUCUUUUACUUUCCG
RNAcentral lists this transfer RNA (83 nucleotides) under Sphingobacteriaceae bacterium. RNAcentral's name for it is "tRNA-Ser". It matches the Rfam family "tRNA". From Rfam's summary of the family: Transfer RNA (tRNA) molecules are approximately 80 nucleotides in length. Their secondary structure includes four short double-helical elements and three loops (D, anti-codon, and T loops). Further hydrogen bonds mediate the characteristic L-shaped molecular structure. tRNAs have two regions of fundamental functional importance: the anti-codon, which is responsible for specific mRNA codon recognition, and the 3' end, to which the tRNAs corresponding amino acid is attached (by aminoacyl-tRNA synthetases). tRNAs cope with the degeneracy of the genetic code in two manners: having more than one tRNA (with a specific anti-codon) for a particular amino acid; and 'wobble' base-pairing, i.e. permitting non-standard base-pairing at the 3rd anti-codon position. Lineage: Bacteria; Pseudomonadati; Bacteroidota; Sphingobacteriia; Sphingobacteriales; Sphingobacteriaceae. The record is from RNAcentral.